RNAcentral lists this ribosomal RNA (498 nucleotides) under uncultured bacterium. Its description in RNAcentral is "partial 16S ribosomal RNA". It matches the Rfam family "Bacterial small subunit ribosomal RNA", at positions 30 to 523 of the family's 1533-position model. The record is from RNAcentral.
AUUGAACGCUGGCGGCAUGCCUUACACAUGCAAGUCGAACGGUAACAGGUCUUCGGAUGCUGACGAGUGGCGAACGGGUGAGUAAUACAUCGGAACGUGCCUAGGAGUGGGGGAUAACUACUCGAAAGAGUGGCUAAUACCGCAUGAGACCUACGGAUGAAAGCAGGGGAUCGCAAGACCUUGUGCUACUAGAGCGGCCGAUGGCAGAUUAGGUAGUUGGUGGGAUAAAAGCUUACCAAGCCAACGAUCUGUAGCUGGUCUGAGAGGACGAUCAGCCACACUGGGACUGAGACACGGCCCAGACUCCUACGGGAGGCAGCAGUGGGGAAUUUUGGACAAUGGGCGAAAGCCUGAUCCAGCAAUGCCGCGUGCAGGAUGAAGGCCUUCGGGUUGUAAACUGCUUUUGUACGGAACGAAAAGCCCCGGGUUAAUACCCUGGGGUCAUGACGGUACCGUAAGAAUAAGCACCGGCUAACUACGUGCCAGCAGCCGCCGUAA